UGAAUACGAGAUGCUACGGCAUUGAAGCAGCGUAUGUCAGACUUCCAAGAAAAGCUCGCAAUGUCAUAAACAAUAAAUGCCUGUACCAUAACCGACACAGGUGGGUAGGUAGAGUAUACUAAGGGGCGCGAGAUAACUCUCUCUAAGGAACUCGGCAAAAUGACUCCGUAACUUCGGGAGAAGGAGUGCCUUAUUUUAUAAGGUUGCAAUAACAAGAUCCAAGCAACUGUUUACCAAAAACACAGGCCUCCGCUAAGUCGAAAGACGAUGUAUGGGGGCUGACGCCUGCCCAGUGCCAGAAGGUUAAAGAAGUUGGUUAGCUUCGGCGAAGCUGAUGACUGAAGCCCUGGUGAACGGCGGCCGUAACAAUAACGGUCCUAAGGUAGCGAAAUUCCUUGUCGGGUAAGUUCCGACCCGCACGAAAGGCGUAAUGAUUUGGAUACUGUCUCGGAGAGGGGCUCGGUGAAAUAGACUUGUCUGUGAAGAUGCGGACUACCUGCACCUGGACAGAAAGACCCUAUGAAGCUUUACUGUAACUUGAGAUUGAAAUUGGACUUUAUUUGCGCAGUAUAGGUGGGAGACGUUGAGAAUAUUCUUGCGGGAAUAUUGGAGUCAUCAGUGAGAUACCACUCUUGUAAUGUUAGAUUUCUAACUUUGUAUCAUUAUCUGGUCAAAGGACAGUUUCAGGCGGGCAGUUUGACUGGGGCGGUCGCCUCUUAAACGGUAACGGAGGCGCACAAAGGUUUCCUCUGAACGUGUAGAAAUCGUAUCUAGAGUGUAAAGGCAUAAGGAAGCUUGACUGUGAGACCUACAAGUCGAGCAGGGACGAAAGUCGGUCUUAGUGAUCUGACGGUGCUGAGUGGAAAGGCCGUCACUCAACGGAUAAAGUUACUCUAAGGAUAACAGGCUGAUCUCUCCCAAGAGUUCACAUCGACGGGGAGGUUUGGCACCUCGAUGUCGGCUCAUCGCAUCCUGGGGCGGUAGUACGUCCCAAGGGUUGGGCUGUUCGCCCAUGAAAGCGGUACGCGAGCUGGGUUCGGAACGUCGUGAGACAGUUCGGUCCAUAUCCGGUGUAGGCGUUAGAAUAUUGAGAGGAGCCUUCUUUAGUACGAGAGGACCGAGAAGGACAUACCUCUGGUGUACCAGUUAUCGUGCCAACGGUAAACGCUGGGUAGCUAUGUAUGGAGUGGAUAACCGCUGAAAGCAUCUAAGUGGGAAGCCCACCUCAAGAUAAGUA
This 1237-nucleotide ribosomal RNA is filed under the name metagenome. RNAcentral describes it as "bacterial LSU rRNA". It matches the Rfam family "Bacterial large subunit ribosomal RNA", at positions 1564 to 2810 of the family's 2925-position model. The record is from RNAcentral.